GGUUGACCUCGGAUCAGGUAGGGAUACCCGCUGAACUUAAGCAUAUCAAUAAGCGGAGGAAAAGAAACCAACAGGGAUUGCCUCAGUAACGGCGAGUGAAGCGGCAACAGCUCAAAUUUGAAAUCUGACCCUUUCAGGGCCCGAGUUGUAAUUUGUAGAGGAUGUUUCGGGUGCGGCGCCGGUCUAAGUCCCUUGGAACAGGGCGUCAUAGAGGGUGAGAAUCCCGUAUGUGACCGGUGACCAACCCCAUGUGAAACCCCUUCGACGAGUCGAGUUGUUUGGGAAUGCAGCUCAAAAUGGGUGGUAAAUUUCAUCUAAAGCUAAAUACCGGCCAGAGACCGAUAGCGCACAAGUAGAGUGAUCGAAAGAUGAAAAGCACUUUGGAAAGAGAGUCAAACAGUACGUGAAAUUGUUGAAAGGGAAGCGCUUGCGACCAGACCUGUCCGCGGGUGAUCAACCGUUAUUCUUAGCGGUGCACUCGCCCGCGAUCAGGCCAGCAUCGGUUUGAGCGGCUGGAUAAAGGCCUCGGGAAUGUAGCUCCCUCCGGGGAGUCUUAUAGCCCGUGGUGCAAUGCGGCCAGCCCGGACCGAGGACCGCGCUUCGGCUAGGAUGCUGGCGUAAUGGUCGUAAGCGACCCGUCUUGAAACACGGACCAAGGAGUCUAACAUCUAUGCGAGUGUUUGGGUGUCAAACCCAUGCGCGGAAUGAAAGUGAACGGAGGUGGGAACCCUGAAGGGCGCACCAUCGACCGAUCCAGAUGUCUUCGGAUGGAUUUGAGUAUGAGCAUAGCUGUUGGGACCCGAAAGAUGGUGAACUAUGCCUGAAUAGGGUGAAGCCAGAGGAAACUCUGGUGGAGGCUCGCAGCGGUUCUGACGUGCAAAUCGAUCGUCAAAUUUGGGUAUAGGGGCGAAAGACUAAUCGAACCAUCUAGUAGCUGGUUCCUGUCCGAAGUUUCCCUCAGGAUAGCAGUAACGUUUUCAGUUUUAUGAGGUAAAGCGAAUGAUUAGAGGCCUUG
RNAcentral lists this ribosomal RNA (1015 nucleotides) under Bryobilimbia sp. Kanz & Printzen 5459. Its description in RNAcentral is "eukaryotic LSU rRNA". It matches the Rfam family "Eukaryotic large subunit ribosomal RNA", at positions 1 to 1032 of the family's 3401-position model. The record is from RNAcentral. Lineage: Eukaryota; Fungi; Ascomycota; Lecanoromycetes; Lecideales; Lecideaceae.